This 330-nucleotide long non-coding RNA is filed under the name Anas platyrhynchos platyrhynchos (common mallard). Its description in RNAcentral is "lncRNA (ENSAPLG00000024942.1)". Lineage: Eukaryota; Metazoa; Chordata; Aves; Anseriformes; Anatidae. The record is from RNAcentral.
AGUGUGGACAACUACUACAAAGGGGCUGUCUUUUCUAAGAUAUGUCAAGGCCUGAAAACCCACUAACUGUUUGAAAUCCAGGAAAACCAUGAGUGGAAAUUUUCAAACUAUAAGGAAGAGUGUCCUGAUAUCUGCUCCAAUCCUGCUUACAAUUUGCUAUCUGCCAGAUUCCCAAGGAAAGUGCUAGAUGCGGGCGUACAGAUGUGUGUAGCAGUACAACAUGUAUUCAUAAGGAAUUAUUGGCUCAUGUCAAUAAAACCCAAGUGUGACAAGUAUCAGGCUUCUGAAACAUGUAGAUCAAAAAAAACAGGUAAGUACCUUAAGUACAAU